GGAACUGUGAAAGUGUGUUGAUUAGCCAUCGCUGUGGGGCAGCUAAUUCUGACACCCGACCACACGCCACAACCAGCACUGAAGAGGCAGCAGCCGGAAAAAGACACAAGAGAGGGAGGACAAGAUGAAUGCAGGAUGGGUAAACAAAUUCAGCGUUUAUGAGAAUGUAAAGAAAGUCCCCAAAGCUGCGCACACUCACAUAUGUGCGAAGACACAAGCACAGUAUGAGCGAGGAGUUUUGCCUUGGAGACCAAUUUACAGCUGGUGCAUAAACAUUCAGCUAGCAGCUUUCCACUGACGGUAACCCCCUGCAGGGCACACAGGAUGUGUUUGUGUUCACCAAGCAUCAUCGUGACUUGUCACCGUGUCUAUCUUUUUUCAGUGCAUAAUCCCAGCUCAACAGAAAACAGUGACGCUUUGAAGAAGUGGAGAGAAGAAUCUUUCUGCCAACGUGCACAAACACACAAACAGUG
Cyprinus carpio (common carp) is the source of this 473-nucleotide long non-coding RNA. RefSeq lists it as uncharacterized. NCBI's taxonomy places the organism in Eukaryota, Metazoa, Chordata, Actinopteri, Cypriniformes, Cyprinidae. The record is from RefSeq and is a predicted model, not a curated record.